AGGGAUAAUAACAACUUCUCCACUCGCCUCCAGGAAUGGGUGUUGUAAAAGUCAAGUCAGCAUGUAUGAGAACACCAAUCUAUAAGAGUGUUCAACAAAGGAGGGCAUUGUUAUUUUACUAUCAUUAUUUUUACUACUUUAUAUUAUUUUGGAAAGAGCCAAGUCACCGAGGUGUCUUCUAUUAAAUCAAUUAGCCUGGAAGGAGAACUAAGCAAGAUGAGAAACUGAACGUAUCUGUGACUCUGCAAGUAGUCUGACACACUCUCCCUGAUACUGUGGUGGGAUCCAGGCCCGGACGCUGUGGAUAAGGGCUGCUGUGGCCAAAAUAAUUAUUGAUAACAGAAUUUUUGAAUCAAGAGAACUACUCUAUCCAAUGAGCUAAGGCGAGAAAACCUGGCAGCAAGUACAAUGUCCUACUGUGAUUAUUUCAGGAAACCAGCAACACGGGGACAGAUAAAAGUAAGAAGCAGGUUACCUUCGCUCUCUGGUUUUGGAACCACACCUGGACGACACGGACACUCAGCCCUGUCUCUGCAGCCAGAGUCUCUCUCACCUUGGAAAAAUUGAACGAGAAAUGUAGACACACUGGCAUCUCAGAGUAGGAGGUAGAACAUCUCCUAUAUAAUACAUGAGGAGGCCAAAAGACUGUAUCUGCUUUAGGAGCUGAAUAGUUUUUAAUGUUGAGCAUACACACAAACACGAGAACAUUGCUUCCCUUCAGGUAGAAAGAAAGUCCUUCACCAGGUAACUUUGGGUGUUUCAUGAAUAUCCAUAGUGACUGCUACCCCAAGUGAGCCCUGCCCAAAGAGAAUAAGAUGAGAGCCAUCUGGAACCCGGCAGAGCCAGGAAGUGUGGCCACAGGACUACAUUUUGGCCAACACAUAUGAGGAGAAAUGAUUUGAGCAACCCCUGGAUACAUCCUUAAAAAGCAGGGCGCUUGCCCUCCAUUUCCUCUUUCUCUACCUGGUGACUGGAAACAUGGUGACAACUGGAGCAGUCGCUUGGACACAGGAGAUGGAUAACAGAGCCACCCACCAGCCUUGCCUUGCUCACCUCUGGACUGUGAAGGAAGAGAAUAAACUCCUGUCUCAUU
Molecule: long non-coding RNA, 1093 nt
Organism: Pan troglodytes (chimpanzee)
Lineage: Eukaryota; Metazoa; Chordata; Mammalia; Primates; Hominidae
Exons: 4
Source: RefSeq, a predicted model, not a curated record